Quercus lobata is the source of this 762-nucleotide long non-coding RNA. RefSeq lists it as uncharacterized. The record is from RefSeq and is a predicted model, not a curated record. The transcript has 3 exons. Lineage: Eukaryota; Viridiplantae; Streptophyta; Magnoliopsida; Fagales; Fagaceae.
AAUGACAAUGACAACAGCGAAGAAGAAGUUGAUGUCAUCGGCGGCAUGGAGCGGCGAAGAGGAAGCCACAGAAGAGUUCCAAGACGACGACGAUCGAUGAUUCCCUUGUCGAGGACUUGCUGUAUCCAAUACCCUUGUCUUCUGCAAAAGACAGCACUUUUUUCUGUCCACAAUAGAGAGACCACUUAAAAGAGUUUCGGCUUCUAACUCACUAGCAUAAAUGAGGGAGAGACCAUUAUAGUGUUAGAAGACCAUUAUAGCUUGCAUCUUCUAGGGUGGAUUUCCUGUAAGUGAAUAUUGCCAAAAUGGCCCAUCUUCAGCAAAGAGUGAGACCAGGUUUACUGAUGAGACUGUCAGUCGUUAUCAUGUUCUGGAAGUCUUUCUUCAACGAGUAUUCGGUAUUGACACCAUCGUGAAACCUCUUCCACCUGCCAUGGCCUACAAUGUUUCCCGUAACUUGAACUUCUUCACACGCAUUUUCACUCAGUUCUUUGAUAAGUUUUGAUCUCUUUGUGCAUUUUAUGGGUAGCAGAGAAGAUGGAAAUAGUACAAUUUCUAUAUAACAAGACAACAUUGUCACUCUUAAAUAGUUUUGAGGAUUCCUUUUUAGUCCCCGCCCCCUUCCCUUUUCACUGAGCCUAGAGUUGUGGUAUAUCUGCAUCAUAAUGAGUAUGCUUGUGAAGCUUCUGAACCAUUUUUAAUGCAUUUGGGGUUUUCAAGUCUAUAAUUUCAUUGGAAAUAAAAGUUUUAAUGGGUUUGAUU